This 497-nucleotide ribosomal RNA is filed under the name uncultured bacterium. RNAcentral describes it as "partial 16S ribosomal RNA". It matches the Rfam family "Bacterial small subunit ribosomal RNA", at positions 28 to 507 of the family's 1533-position model. The record is from RNAcentral.
GAUGAACGCUGGCGGCGUGCCUAAUACAUGCAAGUCGAGCGAACGGACGAGAAGCUUGCUUCUCUGAUGUUAGCGGCGGACGGGUGAGUAACACGUGGAUAACCUACCUAUAAGACUGGGAUAACUUCGGGAAACCGGAGCUGAUACCGGAUAAUAUUUUGAACCGCAUGGUUCAAAAGUAAAAGACGGUCUUGCUGUCACUUAUAGAUGGAUCCGCGCUGCAUUAGCUAGGUGGUAAGGUAACGGCUUACCAAGGCAACGAUGCAUAGCCGACCUGAGAGGGUGAUCGGCCACACUGGAACUGAGACACGGUCCAGACUCCUACGGGAGGCAGCAGUAGGGAAUCUUCCGCAAUGGGCGAAAGCCUGACGGAGCAACGCCGCGUGAGUGAUGAAGGUCUUCGGAUCGUAAAACUCUGUUAUUAGGGAAGAACAUAUGUGUAAGUAACUGUGCACAUCUUGACGGUACCUAAUCAGAAAGCCACGGCUAACUACGUG